GUGCACCAGUCGCGAAUAGUCUACAAUGGACGAAAGUCUGAUAGUGCGACGCCGUGUGUGCGAUUAAUUCCUUCGGGAUGUAAAGCACUUUUCUAUGAGAUAAAAGCUCUUUAGGUUAAUAGCUUAUUGAGACGGAUAUUAUUAUAGGAAUAAGCUCCGGCUAACUCCGUGCCAGCAGCCGCGGUAAUACGGAAGGAGCGAGCGUUGUCCGGAUUUACUAGGCGUAAAGGGCUAGUAGGCGACUAAUUAAGUUAUAUGUUAAAUCCCACGGCUCAACUGUGGUCCUGCAUGUAAUACUGGUUAGAUAGAGUACUGUAGAGGAAGGCAGAAUUCCUGGAGUAGCGGUGGAAUGCGCAGAUAUCAGAAGAAUGCCAAAAGCGAAGGCAGCCUUCUGGGGCAGUUACUGACGCUGAAUAGCGAAGGUGUGGGUAGCGAACAGGAUUAGAUACCCCCGUA
RNAcentral lists this ribosomal RNA (456 nucleotides) under uncultured microorganism. RNAcentral's name for it is "bacterial SSU rRNA". It matches the Rfam family "Bacterial small subunit ribosomal RNA", at positions 346 to 792 of the family's 1533-position model. The record is from RNAcentral.